Long non-coding RNA from Leptonychotes weddellii (Weddell seal), 1446 nucleotides. RefSeq lists it as uncharacterized. The record is from RefSeq and is a predicted model, not a curated record. Lineage: Eukaryota; Metazoa; Chordata; Mammalia; Carnivora; Phocidae.
CCUGAGCUGAGAUCAAGAUUCAGACGCUUAAUCAACUAAGCAACCCAGGUGCCCCAAAAAUUCUUCUAACUGAACAUGUAUGUUUGGAGACUUCUGAUCAAUUACAUACAACUGGCUUUCAUGGACCAACAUCUUUAAAGGCCAUUUGGAAGCUUCAAACAGGUGCUGAUAUUUCUUGAUGGAUGAUGAAGAGAUUUCGAGCAAAGGUCAUGAGGACCCCCUGGAGAUCUUCACCGAUUGUUCUGUUAAUGAUAUCCAAACAAAUGAGUUUACCAACGAUUCCCCUCACAUGCUUAAAAACAAUCACCCUCUCAUUUGUGCCUGUCUGGUGGUGGAAUUUAAUGAGUAUUUUCAAUCUCACAAGGUGGCAAUCUUCAGGGAGAUAUGAAAGAUGAGGCUCCAUUUUAACUUGUCAACAAAGAGGAUUUGUUUAAUAAAUAUUUUUUAUUAAUCAACUUAGCAGAAUAUAAGAAUAGCUUCAGUCAUUCCUAGCAAAAGGCUACCACUGAGCUAGGACGAUAGUAUUAGCUUAUUUAAAAAAUUGUUGAAAUCAGCUUAUAAGAGAAUUGUUGCUAAAUAUAAUUCAUACCUAACAAUUUUCUUGCCUACAGAAAUAUUUGCACCUCGGUAUUCUGGAGACUGGGGCUUAUUUUCUAUUUCAUGUAUACAAGCAGUUCCUGUUAUUUAUGAGUAUGCUCCAUCCAUGUUCCUAGGAGAAUGUGUCCCAUUCCUGAACAGCCAGCUUUAUAAAGCUUUAUAAAGCUGAACACACACUUGAAGGUUUCAGAGACAACACUGUGGCCAGUGAACAUUCCCGAACAACAGAUUGUUGUAAGUUUUAGCUUUGCAAAACUUUGCAAAACUGCAGGGUUUAUCUUCUAGUUAUUUUGUGAACUUUCUGUAUCAAAGGAGAAAAAAUGGAUUAAAUGAAUGGAUUGAUUUUUAAGAAUUGUUCUGUCUUGAGGGUAUGAAACUAAAGAGCUGCCUCUUAAGGUAACUGCAAAGAACUUUGGGUUACUUCCUUCCCUGUUGUUGCCUGUAAAAUAAGUCAUUUUGGAGUGUAAGGCUUAAAUGCUUUUGGAAUGGCUGCCUUCCAGCCUGAUUGGGCUUUCCCAUAGGUCAGGCUGGGAGCAGAAAGCUUCCCAGGCCCCAGGCAGGAGACUGUUUGUCCUGCCACUGGCAGUGUGACUUUGGGGAGAAAGCUACUUAAGCUCUCUGGGUUCUUCAUUACUUUUUUUCUGAAAUGAAGGGAUUGGAUUGGAUUAAUGUUUCCAAACUUUUGGAGUUACAGUCCCCAGUCCAAGGACUGCCCACCCUUACUUCUCAUAGUUACUGACAUUAGUAUCUAUUGCCUCUUUUAAGAGAAUAAUAGCCAAAGGCAACUUCAGUCAAUAAUUUUUAAAAGUGAUUUGUACUUUAUUGCCACAUAAUCAAUAUGUCAGUAUG